GACGAACGCUGGCGGCGUGCUUAACACAUGCAAGUCGAACGGAAAGGCCCCUUUUGGGGUACUCGAGUGGCGAACGGGUGAGUAACACGUGAGUAACCUGCCCUUGACUUCGUGAUAACUUCAGGAAACUGGGGCUAAUACCGGAUAGGAAUCCUUGCUGCAUGGUGGGGGUUGGAAAGCUUCGGCGGUUUUGGAUGGACUCGCGGCUUAUCAGCUUGUUGGUGGGGUAGUGGCUUACCAAGGCUUUGACGGGUAGCCGGCCUGAGAGGGCGACCGGCCACAUUGGGACUGAGAUACGGCCCAGACUCCUACGGGAGGCAGCAGUGGGGAAUAUUGCACAAUGGGCGGAAGCCUGAUGCAGCAACGCCGCGUGCGGGAUGACGGCCUUCGGGUUGUAAACCGCUUUCAGCAGGGGCGAAGCUUUUGUGACGGUACCUGCAGAAGAAGCACCGGCUAACUACGUG
This 464-nucleotide ribosomal RNA is filed under the name uncultured bacterium. RNAcentral describes it as "partial 16S ribosomal RNA". It matches the Rfam family "Bacterial small subunit ribosomal RNA", at positions 28 to 507 of the family's 1533-position model. The record is from RNAcentral.